GGGGGUAUAGCUCAGUUGGUUAGAGCGCUUGCAUCACACGCAAGAUGUCGUUGGUUCGAAUCCGACUACUCCCACCA
Molecule: transfer RNA, 77 nt
Filed under: Opitutales bacterium
Lineage: Bacteria; Pseudomonadati; Verrucomicrobiota; Opitutia; Opitutales
Description: tRNA-Val
Rfam family: tRNA
About the family: Transfer RNA (tRNA) molecules are approximately 80 nucleotides in length.
Source: RNAcentral